UGGGGAAUAUUGGUCAAUGGGCGCAAGCCUGAACCAGCCACGCCGCGUGAGUGAUGAAGGCCUUCGGGUUGUAAAGCUCUGUGGGGAGGGACGAAAACGGUCCGGAAGAAACGACGGAUCCUUGACGGUACCUCCUUAGCAAGCACCGGCUAACUCUGUGCCAGCAGCCGCGGUAAUACAGAGGGUGCGAACGUUGCUCGGAAUUACUGGGCGUAAAGCGCGUGUAGGCGGGACGAUAAGUCGGAAGUGAAAUCCCCGGGCUCAACCCGGGAACUGCUUUCGAAACUGCCGUCCUCGAGUACCGGAGAGGGUGGCGGAAUUCCUGGUGUAGAGGUGAAAUUCGUAGAUAUCAGGAGGAACACCGGUGGCGAAGGCGGCCACCUGGACGGUUACUGACGCUGAGACGCGAAAGCGUGGGGAGCAAACAGG
RNAcentral lists this ribosomal RNA (429 nucleotides) under uncultured Myxococcales bacterium. RNAcentral describes it as "bacterial SSU rRNA". It matches the Rfam family "Bacterial small subunit ribosomal RNA", at positions 355 to 776 of the family's 1533-position model. Lineage: Bacteria; Pseudomonadati; Myxococcota; Myxococcia; Myxococcales. The record is from RNAcentral.